RNAcentral lists this unclassified non-coding RNA (251 nucleotides) under Hevea brasiliensis (rubber tree). The record is from RNAcentral. Lineage: Eukaryota; Viridiplantae; Streptophyta; Magnoliopsida; Malpighiales; Euphorbiaceae.
CUUUUCAAACCCAACCAUUAAAGAUUACUAUAAGGCCUAUGUCAAGGCUAUUUUGAUGAGAAAGAACUCUAUGAGUGGAGUUAGAUAUUCUGAUGAACCAGCAAUUUUUGCUUGGGAGCUCAUGAAUGAACCUCGUUGUGCAUCUAGUUCAUCAGCUCCUUUUCUUCAGGCAUGGAUAACUGAGAUGGCUGCUUUUAUCAAAAGUUUGGCCAUAAAAUCCCUCUACUCCAACAGUCACUAGGUGUUUUUUG